AGAAGGAAAGUGAAUUAUAAAGUACUGUAGACUGUGAAAGGCGACAAAGCCACUUUCUAUAACCUCUACUCUCUAUACAAAGAUUCAGCAAACAAACAAGGCAGACACAGAAAUGGACUCAUCGAGUCUAAUUUCCUGCAGCACAAUGAACCAAUAAACUGCGCAGUAGAAAAAUAUUCCAUCCACCUCUUCAAACAUUAUGGAAAAAAAGCUAAAACCAAAGCAAAUGGUUCACAUACAACAGACGUGGUUACUGACCAGAAUCUGAACGGACCGGGCUGCGAGGAGGUUUUCACUGUGACGGCCAGGCUCAUGGCUUCCCUGCUAUAUGAAAAUCAGACCUAACUCCCUAGAGCAGGUGUAUGUAUCAGACUUUACAGGGCAGGAGCAAUAAUGUUCUACCAUGUUCAUCACACAACAGAUUACCAAGCAGAACUGUGGAGUAGGGAUGGACCUCAGAAGACCGUCAUUGAAUGGUUGCUGGGCUUCAGACAUCAACUCAAGUGAUACGAUGGCUACAAGCCAUAGCAGCAAAACCAUUCAACGAUAUAGCCAUUUAAUGGUUACUAUGUGCGCAUUCGCAGAAACAGUCAGAGUUUAGCGCAUGCUUUAAGCUGAGAUGCGGACACUACUUCCAUGUCUCCGCAGCUGCAAAUAAUUUUCAGCCAUUGGAUGGGUAAGCCAGACCUUCGACUCCUUCAUAAAUUGAAAAUGUAUAAUUAUUAUUGUUAUUAUCAUCAUUUAUUUAUAUGGUGCCGCAUGGGAUCCGUAGCGCCCAAUUACAGAGUUAUCAAAUAAGCAAAACCUGAAGACAGUGACUUACAGUUCAAUACAAUAUAGGACAAGUACAGGGUAUAUAAACAUAGCUGCAUCAGUAAACAGCACUGAAAUAAGUAUCAGGGUGGCAGAAAGCCGAAGGAUAUCACGCCAUCAAGGGAGUAUUUAAAAGAAGAUAGGUUAAGUAAGAGACGUAAAAGCACGGGGGAAGAUGACCCUGCUCGUGAGAGCUUACAUUCUAAAGGGGAGGGGCACACAAACAGGGGUGACACAGAUGGGGUAGAAAGUGAGCGUGAGCCACAGAAUGCUUAGGAUGAGAAACGGCUGGGUUUGGUGAAAAAGUGGGUUUUGAGAGGCCGUUUGAGGUUUUGUAGAGAGGUGGGGAGUCUGAGGGGGAGAGGUAGAGAAUUCCAGAGAAAUGGAGCAGCACGUGCAAAAUCUUGGAGGUAGGAGUGGGAGGAGGUAACCAGAAGGCAGGAGAGGCAGAGUGCAUUAGCAGAGCGAAGAGGACGGGCGGGAGUGUAAAGGGAGAUAAGGUCAGAGAUGUAGAUGGGAGAGGAGUGGGUGAGGGCUUUGUAAGUGAGUGUGAGAAGUUUGAAAUGGAUUCUGAAGGGGAAGGGGAGCCAGUGAAGGGCUAGUAAGAGAGGGGAGGUGGAUGUAGAGCGUUUGGUGAGGAAAAUGAUCCGGGCAGCAGAACGGAGGACAGAUUGGAGUGGAGAGAUGUAUGUGUUAGGGAUGCCAGUCAGGAGGAGAUUACAGUAGUCCAGUCUGAAGAUGACCAGUGAGUGGAUAAGAGUCUUAGUGGCAUCCUGGGUGAGAAAGGGUCUGAUCCUGGAAAUAUUUUUGAGAUGAAAAUAAUUAGUAAUCUGCAACUAUUCUUUAACUUAAUCGUUUUCCGAAUAAAGAACAAAUACUGCUG
This is a long non-coding RNA of Pseudophryne corroboree (corroboree frog), 1696 nucleotides long. RefSeq lists it as uncharacterized. The record is from RefSeq and is a predicted model, not a curated record. Lineage: Eukaryota; Metazoa; Chordata; Amphibia; Anura; Myobatrachidae. The transcript has 2 exons.